CCUACGGGUGGCAGCAGUGAGGAAUAUUGGUCAAUGGGCGGAAGCCUGAACCAGCCAAGUAGCGUGCAGGAUGACGGCCCUACGGGUUGUAAACUGCUUUUAUACGGGAAUAACGCGCCUUACGUGUAGGCCUUUGCAUGUACCUUAUGAAUAAGGACCGGCUAAUUCCGUGCCAGCAGCCGCGUUAAUACGGAAGGUCCGGGCGUUAUCCGGUUUUAUUGGGUUUAGAGGGAGCGUAGGCGGCAUGUCAAGCAUGCUGUGAAAUGUCCGGGCUCAACCCGUGCCUUGCAGCGCGAACUGGCGUGCUGGAGUCCGCGGAAGGCAGGCGGAAUUCGUGGUGUAGCGGUGAAAUGCUUAGAUAUGACGAAGAACCCCGAUUGCGAAGGCAGCUUGCUGCAGCGGAACUGACGCUGAUGCUCGAAAGCGCGGGUAUCGAACAGGAUUAGAUACCCCAGUAGUC
Molecule: ribosomal RNA, 460 nt
Filed under: uncultured bacterium
Lineage: Bacteria
Description: partial 16S ribosomal RNA
Rfam family: Bacterial small subunit ribosomal RNA
Source: RNAcentral